UCGGGAAUCUUGCGCAAUGGGCGAAAGCCUGACGCAGCAACACCGUGUGAGCGACGAAGGCCUUCGGGUCGUAAAGCUCUGUUGUUGGGGACGAAGGGUUAGGGGUUAAUAGCCCCGAGCCUGACGGUACCCUUCGAGGAAGCCCCGGCUAACUACGUGCCAGCAGCCGCGGUAAUACGUAGGGGGCGAGCGUUGUCCGGAAUUAUUGGGCGUAAAGAGCGUGUAGGCGGUUCGGUAAGUCUGCCGUGAAAACCCAGGGCUCAACCCUGGGCGUGCGGUGGAUACUGCCGGGCUAGAGGGUGGUAGAGGCGAGUGGAAUUCCCGGUGUAGCGGUGAAAUGCGCAGAUAUCGGGAGGAACACCAGUAGCGAAGGCGGCUCGCUGGGCCACACCUGACGCUGAGACGCGAAAGCGUGGGGAGCAAACAGG
This 428-nucleotide ribosomal RNA is filed under the name uncultured Rubrobacter sp. RNAcentral describes it as "bacterial SSU rRNA". It matches the Rfam family "Bacterial small subunit ribosomal RNA", at positions 355 to 776 of the family's 1533-position model. Lineage: Bacteria; Bacillati; Actinomycetota; Rubrobacteria; Rubrobacterales; Rubrobacteraceae. The record is from RNAcentral.